UACGAAGGGGGCUAGCGUUGCUCGGAAUGACUGGGCGUAAAGGGCGCGUAGGCGGAUGGUACAGUCAGAUGUGAAAUUCCUGGGCUCAACCUGGGGGCUGCAUUUGAUACGUGCUGUCUUGAGUUCGGAAGAGGGUCGUGGAAUUCCCAGUGUAGAGGUGAAAUUCGUAGAUAUUGGGAAGAACACCGGUGGCGAAGGCGGCGACCUGGUCCGAAACUGACGCUGAGGCGCGAAAGCGUGGGGAGCAAACAGG
RNAcentral lists this ribosomal RNA (253 nucleotides) under uncultured bacterium. Its description in RNAcentral is "partial 16S ribosomal RNA". It matches the Rfam family "Bacterial small subunit ribosomal RNA", at positions 524 to 776 of the family's 1533-position model. The record is from RNAcentral.